AACUCUUUUCUCUUCUUCCUCCUCCUCUUUCCUAUCCCCGUGUUUUUUCUCAGCUUUUCCUUUUUCUCUGUUUUGCUUCAACGACCAGCACCCAUCGUCGUUUUGUUGUUAUUUUUUUCUUCUUUUUGCAGAUAGAGCUCUGUGUUCUGCUUCUGUCUGCGUUUUGAGCUUAUACUUCUCGUUUGGAGAUUUGUUUUCUUUUUUUUUUUAAAUUUUUGUUUUUGUUGGUUCUCGCGAUGAACGGAAACGAAGGAGCGGCGGAAGAGACGAAGGUGGAGGAGGAGAAGAAGGAGGAAGAGUGCAAGGAGAAAAUGGUGUACAUGUGGGGCUACCUUCCCGGAGCCUCGCCGGAGAAAACUCCGAUACUGUCUCCGGCGUCGGUAAGCCUCUCUGAUCCCUCCAUCGCCGGAGAUUCCUGGAAAGACGUUUGUGGCGGCGGUUGUGGAUUCGCCAUGGCCAUUUCAGAGAAAGGGAAGCUGGUGACGUGGGGCUCCGCGGAUGAUGAGAGCCAGAGUUAUUUGACGUCGGGGAAGCGUGGGGAGACUCCAGGAGCUUUUGAGCUCCCCACUGAUGCUGCAGUGCUGAAGGCUGCUGCUGGUUGGGCUCAUUGCGCCUCGGUCACUGAAGAAGGUGAAGUCUAUGCAUGGGGAUGGAAAGAAUGUGUGCCUUCUGGUAAAGUUAUUACUGAUUUCAUAGCUGCAGGAAGCCUGCAAAAGGAUAUUUCUGGGAAACAAAGCUCAUCAAUAGCUGAUCAAGGAAGCCCACAAAGCUCAAACACAAGUAGUGGGUCAGACUCUCAUCAUGACAACAAGAAAGCUGGAGAGGAAGCUAUUAAGAGAAGAAAAAUCUCAUUUGCGAGACAGGAAUCCGACAGUCCAGCAUCUGGAGAUGAAUUCUUUACUGUUUCACCUUCUCUUAUUACCCUUGGGCCUGGGGUCAAGAUUACCUCUGUAGCAGCUGGUGGGAGGCAUACACUAGCACUGUCAGAUGUGGGACAGGUUUGGGGUUGGGGCUAUGGAGGUGAAGGACAGCUAGGUUUGGGUUCUCGAGUGAAGAUGGUGUCAUCUCCUCACGUUAUACCUUGUAUGGAGUCCACUUCUGGGAAAGAUAGGUCAUCAACUGCUCAUCAAGGAAGUGGCGCUGGGGCACAAGUAUCAAAGGUUCCUGGAAGUUAUGUGAAGGAAAUUGCUUGUGGAGGUCGGCAUAGCGCUGUUGUGACAGAUGCUGGGGCACUCCUUACUUUUGGCUGGGGCCUGUAUGGUCAGUGUGGACAAGGGAAUAAUGCUGAUCAACUGAGACCAACCCUAGUUCCAUCUUUAUUGAGUACUACUGUGGAAAAAAUUGCAGCGGGACUUUGGCAUACAUUGUGUGUUACUGUAGAUGGUCAUAUUUAUGCAUUUGGUGGGAAUCAGUUUGGACAAUUGGGUACUGGUAGUGAUCAGCCUGAGACCUUGCCUAAACAGUUGGAAGCUUCCCGUUUUGAGAAUAAGCAUUCUAGUAUGGUUUCUUGUGGGGCUCGUCAUAGUGCUUUGCUAACAGGUAUUUCCUUCCCGUUUUGAGAAUAAGCAUUCUAGUAUGGUUUCUUGUGGGGCUCGUCAUAGUGCUUUGCUAACAGAGGAUGGUCACCUAUUUACUUGGGGAUGGAACAAAUAUGGCCAGCUUGGUUUGGGAGAUUCUACUGACCGAAAUGUCCCUUGUCAAGUUCUUAUUGCCGGUUGCCGACCUAGAAAUGUUGCCUGUGGUUGGUGGCAUACACUGCUGGUGGCUGAUAAGAACCUGGUUUGACUCAAUAUGCCCAUUAGCAUUGACAGGGUUGCACAGUUUUGAUAGGUUACUGACUAAUCGACAUUUCUCUAGUGGAAUGUAGAUAUGUCCAGAAUCAACCAGCAUGUUUCUUGGUUUGUUUCCUCUUCUCUAUUUCUGUCUACCUGAUUUUCCUGUCUUGAUUUCCAUUUCUAGAUUUCUAGGUGUAGCUUGGCACUAACUUGGAAGUGCUUGAAGUGUUCUUAGUUUUCAUACACAAGACAAUAAAAGAGUGUUAAACGAUUGAUUGUAAUUUAUAGCGCCCAUGGCGCCCUUUAUUUGUGAAGGAAGUUUCCAUUUUAGGGCACAGCUUGAGCUUUAGUGA
Arachis ipaensis is the source of this 2128-nucleotide RNA transcript. It is a transcript of the gene named ultraviolet-B receptor UVR8, with no coding region annotated. Lineage: Eukaryota; Viridiplantae; Streptophyta; Magnoliopsida; Fabales; Fabaceae. The record is from RefSeq and is a predicted model, not a curated record.